UUUAGGCCAGGGGACCUCG
RNAcentral lists this ribosomal RNA (19 nucleotides) under Celtis kunmingensis. RNAcentral's name for it is "partial 18S ribosomal RNA". The record is from RNAcentral. Lineage: Eukaryota; Viridiplantae; Streptophyta; Magnoliopsida; Rosales; Cannabaceae.